AUUGAACGCUGGCGGCGUGCCUAAUACAUGCAAGUCGAGCGAACAGAUAAGGAGCUUGCUCCUUUGACGUUAGCGGCGGACGGGUGAGUAACACGUGGAUAACCUACCUAUAAGACUGUGAUAACUUCGGGAAACCGGAGCUAAUACCGGAUAACAUAUUGAACCGCAUGGUUCAAUAGUGAAAGGCGGCUUUGCUGUCACUUAUAGAUGGAUCCGCGCCGUAUUAGCUAGUUGGUAAGGUAACGGCUUACCAAGGCAACGAUACGUAGCCGACCUGAGAGGGUGAUCGGCCACACUGGAACUGAGACACGGUCCAGACUCCGACGGGAGGCAGCAGUAGGGAAUCUGCCGCAAUGGGCGAAAGCCUGACGGAGCAACGCCGCGUGAGUGAUGAAGGUCUUCGGAUCGUAAAACUCUGUUAUCAGGGAAGAACAAAUGUGUAAGUAACUGUGCACAUCUUGACGGUACCUGAUCAGAAAGCCACGGCUAACUACGUGCCAGCAGCCGCCGUAA
RNAcentral lists this ribosomal RNA (513 nucleotides) under uncultured bacterium. Its description in RNAcentral is "partial 16S ribosomal RNA". It matches the Rfam family "Bacterial small subunit ribosomal RNA", at positions 30 to 523 of the family's 1533-position model. The record is from RNAcentral.